UGCAUGCGCAGCUACACAUGCAAGUCGAGCGGUAACAGGAAGAAGCUUGCUUCUUUGCUGACGAGCGGCGGACGGGUGAGUAAUACUUGGGAACUUGCCUUUAGGAGGGGGAUAACCGCUGGAAACGGUGGCUAAUACCGCAUAAUGUCUACGGACCAAAGCAGGGGCUCUUCGGACCUUGCACCUAAAGAUAGGCCCAAGCGAGAUUAGCUAGUUGGUGGGGUAAAGGCCCACCAAGGCGACGAUCUCUAGCUGUUCUGAGAGGAUGAUCAGCCACACUGGGACUGAGACACGGCCCAGACUCCUACGGGAGGCAGCAGUGGGGAAUAUUGCACAAUGGGGGAAACCCUGAUGCAGCCAUGCCGCGUGUGUGAAGAAGGCCUUCGGGUUGUAAAGCACUUUCAGUGGUGAGGAAGGCCGUAAGAUUAAUACUCUUGCGGAUUGACGUUAACCACAGAAGAAGCACCGGCUAACUCCGUGCCAGCAGCCGCGGUAAU
This 497-nucleotide ribosomal RNA is filed under the name Pseudidiomarina sediminum. RNAcentral's name for it is "bacterial SSU rRNA". It matches the Rfam family "Bacterial small subunit ribosomal RNA", at positions 41 to 524 of the family's 1533-position model. Lineage: Bacteria; Pseudomonadati; Pseudomonadota; Gammaproteobacteria; Alteromonadales; Idiomarinaceae. The record is from RNAcentral.